UUGCAAGGAAAAAAAUCCAAAAGGAGAGCCCACUGACCAGAGGGUGGGCACAAGUACACACUCGCCAGUCACCUUACCAACUCAGCUGCCCUUGGGAGACAGUCCAGGGCCACCUCCUAUCCCGUUGCUGCCAGACCCAGAGACCAUCUCACCCUGGAGACCAUCUCCCCAGCCUCCAGGCUCCGGAGCCACCUCUCCAGUCUAGUCAGAAGGCUUUGGCCCUUGUCUCCUUGGGCUAGGGAACCCUGAAGUCUUGUUUUGGGACACCUUACAGCUUGCACGCUGAGGGUUGCAGGACCUGUUCUUGCCACCUCCUGGGCUGACAUCUAACAAGGAGGUGACUGAGAAGGCACCAUCUCUGCCAAGUGCUGUCUUCACAUAUUGGGAUUCCGUCCUCUGAGCACAGGAAGAUGCCAGCUCCAUUAGUGCUGACUUGGGUUCCUGUCCUCAGCCACCAGGCAGGUGCUGAGUGAACACUGGGAUAUGGCUUCCAGAAAGGGAGAUGGCUAAGCCUUGUUCCAUUGCAGUGCCUGGCUACCCUGAACUCUGGUUGCCUGCCCACCUGGCCUUGCCCACUGGAACUCUGCCCUUCACCCUCACCAGCUCCAUGCCACCCUCCCCUGGGCACUGAGCUCCACUGGGAAGUGAUACAUGGGCCUGAGAGCGGCCGUCUCAUCUACGUGCAAGAGGAGAGCCAGGACACUGAUGGGGACUCUUUAGAAAAGCAGCCUUCUGGGCCCACAGGAGGCUGAAAUCUAUGUCCACCUUUCCAAGCCCAGCUUCCCAACCUAAGGAGGCUUCUUGCCCAUCAUGUCCAUGUUUGUGACCCCUGAAGUGGAGCUGGUUUUAAGUACAACUACAAAGGCAAAGGGUAACUUGAAGUAGAGCUAUCACAAAGAAAUCUCUUCUUGGUCAGAGGGGUUCUAUUUGGCUCUGGUCCUGGCCUCCUCUGCUGAGAUGGAAGGUUCCAGACACCCAUCAGUGCCAAAGGCAAAUUAAACAUACCCAUGAAAAGCUCUCUGUCUCCCAAGCACUUCCUUCCUGAAAACAGUGAGGGAAGGAGGUU
RNAcentral lists this long non-coding RNA (1066 nucleotides) under Ictidomys tridecemlineatus (thirteen-lined ground squirrel). Its description in RNAcentral is "lncRNA (ENSSTOG00000029803.1)". Lineage: Eukaryota; Metazoa; Chordata; Mammalia; Rodentia; Sciuridae. The record is from RNAcentral.